UACGUAGGGCGCAAGCGUUAUCCGGAAUUAUUGGGCGUAAAGGGCUCGUAGGCGGUUCAACAAGCCGGCCGUGAAAGUCCGGGGCUCAACUCCGGAUCUGCGGUGGGUACGGGCAGGCUAGAGUGAUGUAGGGGAGACUGGAAUUCCUGGUGUAGCGGUGAAAUGCGCAGAUAUCAGGAGGAACACCGAUGGCGAAGGCAGGUCUCUGGGCAUUAACUGACGCUGAGGAGCGAAAGCAUGGGGAGCGGACAGG
Molecule: unclassified non-coding RNA, 253 nt
Filed under: uncultured Micrococcaceae bacterium
Lineage: Bacteria; Bacillati; Actinomycetota; Actinomycetes; Micrococcales; Micrococcaceae
Description: contains 16S-23S intergenic spacer region
Rfam family: Bacterial small subunit ribosomal RNA
Source: RNAcentral